UACGGAGGGGGCUAGCGUUGUUCGGAAUUACUGGGCGUAAAGCGCACGUAGGCGGCUUUGUAAGUUAGAGGUGAAAGCCUGGGGCUCAACUCCAGAACUGCCUUUAAGACUGCAUCGCUUGAACACGGGAGAGGUGAGUGGAAUUCCCAGUGUAGCGGUGAAAUGCGUAGAUAUUGGGAAGAACACCGGUGGCGCAAGCGACUUGCUGGGCCAUAACUGACACUGAGGAACGAAAGCUAGGGGAGCGAAUGGG
Molecule: ribosomal RNA, 253 nt
Filed under: uncultured bacterium
Lineage: Bacteria
Description: partial 16S ribosomal RNA
Rfam family: Bacterial small subunit ribosomal RNA
Source: RNAcentral